GUCCCCAUAGCUUAACGGAUAAAGCGCGGCCCUCCGGAGGCCGAAAUCGAGGUUCGAUUCCCCGUGGGGACA
RNAcentral lists this transfer RNA (72 nucleotides) under Patescibacteria group bacterium. RNAcentral describes it as "tRNA-Arg". It matches the Rfam family "tRNA". From Rfam's summary of the family: Transfer RNA (tRNA) molecules are approximately 80 nucleotides in length. The record is from RNAcentral. RNAcentral also lists the same sequence under 1 other name.